CGCGGGCGGGUUUGGGGCUUCGUGGCAGCUGUUGCUUGGGCAUCCCUCGGUGAGCAGCGCACCCCCCCCCGACCCCGCUCUCCCUGGGCACCAACCACCCUCCUCUUGCAACCAAAUCCCCGGUUCCCACCCGGAUUAAACCCACAGUGUCGGAGGAAUCCUCAAAAUCCAUCCACCCCCAGCCCUGCCAGCACCCGCCUACUCUUGCCCUGCGUGGAGAGCGACACAAACCCUUGGCUGAAAGGAGCUCUGACGCUCCAGCUUCACUAAAAUCAGUUUAUAUUUGCCUCUCAGGACUUUCCCUUUCCCGUCCUCCUCUGCUCACCCCGCUCUUUGCAGGGGUGUGUAAUCUCCCACUCAUCCGCUCCGGGAACGAGGGCGGUGGCAGGAGGUGACACUCCAGAUUCAUCUCCAACCGCCAGCGCUUGAGGGCCGGUGUCACGCAGCAUUUCCCUGAACGAGCCCUGGGGAAGGGGAAGGGAAAGGGGAAGAAGCCGCACACGCUCGAGGCUGACGGGAGCUGCUCUGCAGCACGAGAACCAGCCCCAGCGCUGUGGCCUCGGCAAGCGGCGGCUCCACAUGACGCUCCACACGGCGCCUUCCAGCCCGCAUCCAGCGGAAGAGGAGGAAAAUAAAUUUGUUUCCUCUUUUAAAUAGGCUGGAAUUUGCACUGGCUCAAGCUGGGUCAGGGGCGAUGCUGAGGGAUGCUCGUGUUUCCCCGGGAUGCCCCGGUGCAAUGGGGACAGGGGGACAGAGGUUGUAGCCGUUCCCCUGAUGGAUCAGCUACAAGGGAGCUCAGCGUGCGUGUGGAAAUCACAGCUCUGCUUUCCCCAGCAUCCCUCCUCCUCCUCCUCCUUUAUCCCGUGUGGUGUUUUGGGGGUCAGGAGGGGCCACACACACACACACACACACCCCAGCCCUAGGGAAACCCCUGCUUGAAGCACAGCGGUACCUGCAGCUCUGGGGUUAAAGAGCCCAAAAGGAGGAUUUUCCAUGCAGAGGGAUUUGUGGACAUUCCCGUCAUCCUUUCUGCCCGUUACCUCCCAGCUCGAGUGACAGAAGGAAGCACCAAAUCAGCACAGAAACGCCCGCUGGCACCGGAGGAUUGCUCUGCUCAGCACCGGGAUCAGCUGGGGGCUGGUUUGCUCCAAACGAAAGGAUUUAUCAGAAGAUGAUGGCAAAGCUGGGAAAGGACCAGUUUGGCUUCUUUAUCCUGGGGCAUCUCCCAGCGACCAGCAAAACCGCCCCAAAAAUCCACAUUCUGCAGGACGGAAGGGGCAGCAUGUGCUUUUGGGGAUUGCCCAAGGGAGCAGUUCCACAUCACGGAGGGGAUUUAGGGUCCCUGAAGAUCCAGCCCAGGUGUUGGAAGAGCCAGCCGUGUCAUUCCUGGGGUGUCCAGUGAGUCGUUUGGGGAAUUUACUGGAUCAUUUCUGGGCUGGUUUUCCCCCCUGCAGGAAGCAGGGCUGGAUGUGAGCCUUGGCAACUCCCCAUCACGCUGCCAGUCUCUCACUCUCAUCCAUGUGGGAAUAGUGGUGGUAGCAUCCGACUCAAAUGACUAAUUUCUGAGCAGCUGGAACAUCUGGGAACAACCUAAACAGCCCACAUUGGCCCAAUUUCCCAGCCACAGAGAUCCACGGCUUCAGCCUUGGUUUUGGUAGAGUUUGGAAUAACUACAGGCGCUUGGAUUCAUGCCCCAUCCUUUCCUGCCCCAAAUCACCCAUCAAGGAGAAGUUACCCUUUAUCAGGAUUUUUCCAAAUCCCCAACAAAUCGGGGUCAUCUCUGUGCCCUGCACCUUCACCUAUCCUCCUCUUUCUUCCCUAGAUGUCAAGGGGGAAGAAAUGGGCUCAGGGCAGACCCUGAUUCCCCCCCACACCUGGUGGUACUGGGGCUGCACCCAUCUGCAGCAUCCCUGGCAGAAGGAUCUUAAAAAAUAUUAUUUGCUGGAGCUUUGGAAAGGAGCUUUUGAUUGGUUUAAUUGAUGGAGGAAUUGAGCAGGGAGCAGAAACGCAGUAAAAUAAAUCAGCAGCACGUUUUCACCCCCUUUUCCACCCCCCAAAGCUGGUUUGGGAGCAGAACGGCUUUGCAAGAGUUGGGAAAAGCGAGAAAAUUCCCCCCUCCCCAUCUGUUUGCUUUUAAACAGGCUCUUUUUAAGGAAAAAAAAAAAAAAAAAGCUGGAGGGCUGUGAACAGCACCCGAAACCAAGCGGGGAUGGGUUAUUCAUGCGCAGGCACUAUCCGAGGGGCAGGAUCCACCACUCCACACCCCGCGGGACUAAAGAGCAGCAACUCUCCGGACUAUAAAUCCCCAGAUUCCCUGGAUCUCCCCAGCCGGGCUGUUAUUGAGAUGCAGGGAGCAGGGGAGAAGGUGACCGCCGACUCCAUAAAUAUUAUUGGGGGCGACGGGGCUGCGCGGGGCCGGCGGGCGCAGACAAAGCGCCCAUUGAGCUGUCGGCGGAGGCGCGACGGCCCAGCUGCCGCGGGGAGCCAGGACGGGGGUCAAGGUCAGAGGUGGCCCCUGCUUGUAUUAUUCCCCCCCCAGCUUCUUUCCUUGUGACCGUAAAAUUAAUAAAAAUUAACCGGGUAUGACCGGCUCAGCAUGCCCACAGAGGAUGCCAGGAGAAAUGGGUGGCAGCAGGAGGGGAAACUGAGGCACUGGGCAAGAGCCCAGCACUGCACCCACUCUGCGGUGUCUUGGGGACCCUUUUGUGAGUCUGUUUAAUAACAUAUAUGCUUAAAUGGGUGUAGAUUUGACAUCCCCAGCUCCGUGCUGGAGCAACCCCAGGGUCACGCCAACGUGGCCAGGAAGCUCGUGCCCACCCCAAUCACCCAGCACCCUGCCCAGUUCUCCCAGUGCUGGGGUUUUUCUCCAUGUGGAUGGAGAACUGGAGCCUUCAGCUGCGUGUGGGAGCUGUGGCCGGGGCAGCCCCAUCCACCCCCAGGACUGGAGGUUCAAUCCUGCUGCCACAUAAACUUAGAUUUUUGGAAUAUUUUACUCCCUAUUAAGCAAUCCCUUAGCAACGCUUGUUUCCAUGGCAAAGAGCAGAGAACCUCCAUGCUGAUGCUGAGCUUUGCCUUAAACUAUAGUUCAGAUUUUUUUAUUUGGGUGCUGCCCCACAGGCCAGGUCCCCAGUACCCAUGGGGGCUGCCCUCCUGGGAUGGACCAUGGGUCCCAGUUCUGGGCUCUGAGCCGGGCUGGGGACACAGAACAAGGAGGAUUUACCUGGGAACAGAAGGCGUGCAGCAUGCAGAGCCUCUUCUUAAAAAAAAAAAAAAAAAAGGGUGCUCGGGGCACACUGUGCACCCCAAAAAAGCUGGUCUCCAGUUCUGGCACUCUCAGGGUUUAAAGGCAGAGCCGUGCCCAGCUGCGGGGCAGCCCAGGCUUCCAAAAUUUCACUAAUGAGCCCAGCCACUGGCGGGGCCGCCGGCUUUCCUUGCUUCCCUGCUUUAAUGAACUUGAACAAGGUGCAGGACACUGGGACAGGGCUGGGUGCUGGUGGGUGCUGCAGCCCCAAACCAAAUGGGGGGGGACAGGGGAUUUAGUGGUGGUUGGCACUGCACAGUGAGAGCUGCCUGUCCAGCAGCCUCGCGUUCCCAAAGGGGCACGUGAGUCACUUGAACAUUGGGGUUCCUGCAGAAAAUCCACGUGGAAAGGGUAUUUGUUCAUUGUCAAAAAAGCCCAGCUGCGUUCUGUGCCCCACUUGGUGUUUUCAAAGAAAUGGGUUGAAUUCUGCUAUUUCCAUCCUCAGUGGGAAAAAAAAAAAAAAAAAAAGAAAACCUCUACUUGGGAGUGAUGGCAGGUUCCUGGGAUGGACCCUCCGUGGGGAUUUGCCCUCCAGAAAUCACCCAGAGUCCCCAUUUUUUAUCCCAGAGCCCCAAAUCAACAUUCCCGUGGGUGUAAGACCCCCGACAGACCUGGCACUGCUGGGUUUGCCCAUCUCCAUGCCCGGGAGGAGAAAGGAAACUCCUUCCUCGCUGUGCUUUUAUUUUGCUGCAGUGGUAACGAAUUCUUGCAGCGGUUCAUGCCCUGAAGGAGCCUUAAAACCUCCCAAAUUUGACAGCCAAAAAUAGCUAUCGCUCUGCUUGUUUCCAAGUGUUCACUAGCCCUGAUUUAUUUACCCCAGUUAUUUGAAUCCAUCUCACGCUUUGAAUCCCAAAUCCUAAGCAGGAUGGAAAAAAAAAA
Long non-coding RNA from Athene cunicularia (burrowing owl), 4180 nucleotides. RefSeq lists it as uncharacterized. The transcript has 2 exons. Lineage: Eukaryota; Metazoa; Chordata; Aves; Strigiformes; Strigidae. The record is from RefSeq and is a predicted model, not a curated record.